AUGACCUCCACCAUGGCCUGGUGCCCUCUUCUCCUCACCCUCCUCACUCACUGCACAGGGUCCUGGGCCCAGUCUGUGCUGACUCAGCCGGCCUCAGUGUCUGCGGUCCUGGGCCAGAGGGUCACCAUCUCCUGCACUGGAAGCAGCUCCAACAUCGGUGGAAAUUACGUGAGUUGGCACCAGCAGCUCCCAGAAACAGGCCCCAGAAACAUCAUCUAUGCUGAUAACUACCGAGCCUCAGGGGUUCCUGAUCGAUUCUCUGGCUCCAAGUCAGGCAGCACAGCCACCCUGACCAUCUCUGUGCUCCAGGCUGAGGAUGAGGCUGAUUAUUACUGCUCAGUGGGGGAUGAUAGUCUCAAAGCACCCACGGUGCCCCAGGCCUGUGGGGAAGUGAGACAAAAACCUAUUUAG
This is a non-coding RNA of Nyctereutes procyonoides (raccoon dog), 411 nucleotides long. NCBI's taxonomy places the organism in Eukaryota, Metazoa, Chordata, Mammalia, Carnivora, Canidae. The record is from the annotation of a RefSeq genome assembly.